GUAGCCCUCCCCCCUCCACCAGCUCGGGGGCCCCCCCUUCCUCGUCCCCCCCCCCCCCCUCCAGCGUCUGGGCUGAGUGAUCAAAAUAGAGGAAGAUGGUUGUCGCCGCAAUCCAGGGCUUUGCAAGGCGCAGUUUAAUGGGCCGCCUGUCAGCUUCCCGCUCGCUAAAGGAGGUGACAAGCCUGCCGAGCCGGGAAGGGCCUGGGGCUCAGUGGGCUGCACCCUGCGCCCGCGCCCCUGCCCGCCACCUCCCCUAGGCAAAAUCCGUUCUGGGUUGAGUCGCCAGGAGCUGCCCGCGGCAGACCUACCUGUUUAGGGGCGCUGGAAAUGCGAACCCCGCCGGAGGGACAGUCGCAGGAGCCCCGCAGCCCCACAGGCUCCAGAACCCUGUUGGGCAUUACCUACCCUCGAAGGCAAGCUUUGGAAGGACAGAAAUCCUUGUCGAUCCUGCCUCAGAGAGCAACCCUGGUGACAGGUUUUUAAUUAAGAGAAGCCUGCUCUACCCCCCUGUGCUGUAGAAUCAGCGUUUUCGCAUUUCUAUUUUUUUUAAAUCCAUUUUUUAAGGCAACUUUUCUGGUGAAAAAAAGAGCUAGUUAGCGCCCCAUUCGUUCUAUUUUCUUUUCUCUACUUUUAGAAAAAAAAGAGGGGGAAGGGUUCGAAAGCGAACUGGGGGUGUCUAAUUUAAUUCCUGGAUAAAUUUGAGGAAAAAACUUCAGCCUCUUGAGGGCAGUUUCAAGUUGCCCUUCCUGGAGUCUCCUGCGUGGGUUUCUAGGCUGCCCUCUUUGGGAAGCUGGAGCUCGGCGGGGGGAGGAGGGAGGAGAGAGGAGAAAGGAACGAAAAUAGCCGGAGCCGAGGGGACCGUGAGCGGUGACCGCGCUUGGAGCUGGGCGCACGGGUCUCGGUGGCGGCCAGGGCGGCGGGAGGCACCCGGUGCAACCCCCGGACGGCCAGGAGCAAAGACGGAGAAGAGAGGGGGGUUAGAGAAAGAAGAUGCUCCACGACGCCGUAAUUGUGACGGUGGGAUAUGUGUGCCAUAAAUCAUUUAGUUACUAAUAAAAAUUCUGCCGUUUGCCCUGGAUUUGCCAAUGGCGUUUGCAUUUUUCAAGUAUGCGCCUCGUCGGCGUGGCAAACCAAGCCGGCAUUUCAUUAGGGCCGCGCGGUUCGGGGCCGAUGAGGCGCCCUCCCCCGCCAGAAUGUGUGCGCCCCAGCCCCCUCCGCCGCCCGCUCUGCACAGCCCGCACCCGUGAGCUGCCACGCGGCCCCCCAGCCACCACCCGGCGUGGGGCCUGGAGACGCGGCGACACGGACAGAGCCAGCUCGUGCUGCUCCCGUGGGGCGCAGGAGAGGCCCUCCGCGUAGCUGCUCGGACCCGGCCUGGUGUCCCCCUCGCGGGCCGCACGCCCUGCCGCCCCGCAGUGGCCGAGAAAACAGGCCGGGAGCCAUCUUGGGGCGUGGGACGGAUCCCAAGAGGAGGCUGCAGCUAAAGCCCCUUGAAAAAAACCCUGCCAUGACGGGGGGGGGCCUCUGGGCACCCCUAGCCAGGCCUUGGGGUCUGGGAGAACGCGGUCUGCGCCCUGGCCUGCCACACCGAACCGAGAAAACCCAGCUGCCUGCCCGGUGCGGAGCGGGAACCACCGCACAGCCCCGCCGCCAUCUUCCGCGCCCCACCCCCCUCGAGCUUGUUUACCCGGCGGGAUCCGUGGCCAAAAACCGUGUUGACGCAGUGGGUGUGUGGGUGUGUGUUUUGUACUGACUGGGCGGAAAAUCAGCCGGGGGUGGGGACCUCCACGCAGUCUCAAGCCGCAAUUCCCGGAGAACCCACCCUGGCCAGCUCGGCUGGCCCAGUGCGCUUGUCCGAGGCCAGCCGGAGUAGCCUGAGCUGGGAUCUUUGUAUGUGUCCCCAGGCAUCCGCUCUCAAGACGCGUUCCAGCCGACAAAAUUCUCCCCCUUCAUUAUAAAGCCAAAGGACAGGCCAACCUUGAGCCCGGCUGUGUCCCCUGCCGCGCCUUUGUCGGCGCUGAGGCCUGCGAAUGUUGGCUGGUCCUCCGAUUCCUGGAGCACAAGUCGGCCUCAGUUCUCCCCACGGCACGGUCGAACCUGGUUCUUCCAGAACCUUGGUGUUGCUGGCCGCGUGGAUACAUCUUCCCCGUUUUCUCAGCAAGGGUAAGGGGACAGCUAGCAUUCUUUCCAAGGCAUGGAAGUCCAAGUCACCCCAUCGGUUGCCCCGAACCGCCUUUCUCCGAUCGGAGCCCCCGAACUACACCAGCGUCUAAGGUAGUGAAGGGGAUGCCGAGGAUGGCGAGCUCCAAAGGCCGUGGGCAGUUCUAGGCAAGAGUUUCCGCAGGGUCGAACAACCAGGGAGCUCCCUGCCCGGGCGCCGCUAAAACCCGGAGAGGCCGCGCCCGGCACAGCCAUCCUCGCUGCAACUGGACCAGGUGCGGCUCAGCCAGCCCAGUCGAGAGCCAUGAGGACUCACCAGGAAGGCCAGAGACGCGGUGCCAGCGCCCCGCUCGCCACCAGAACCCUGGUGCACGGCUAGGAGAGCCCGGGCCGUUGCGCCAGGCCGGGCCUCGGAGGAUUCCUCCGACUCCUCUCGGCCCCGCCUACGACCCUGGCCUCUUCCUCCGGCCCGGGUCGGGUCUUCCACUCCACUGUUUGGCUCGAAGAGGACGGAGAAGCGCUCAGUGCGCUGGGGGCCGGCCACGGCCAUAAAUCUCCCUCACCAGCCCUCCUUCCGCUGCUCACUGGCGGGUGUUCCAGCCUGGCCACUCGUCCCCGGCCGCCAGGUACCCUGCUCUCCCGGUCACUACGCUGGAAAUCACUGUCAGGAGCUUCCCCGUUCGCCAAAAAGAGGGAGUCGCCUCGCCCAUUCGGUGCCACCACCAGCCAUCCCCUCGAGUGCCGGACCCCGAGGCGGCCUGGGCCUCACGGAUCACCGCCCUGGGUAGGGGCGUGCGGGGGCCAGGUGAAGGCCUGCUGAGGUUUGAAUGGGUGCGCAGCUAUCCGAGCCACCGAGGGGCGACGCCUAGGUCAGGAACAGUGGCUUCUCAGCUGGUCACCUCAACGGACCCUGCCUUAGUCCCGCGCCCUUGGAUCCCUCUUCGCUCGCCACGGGUUCCCCAGCUUGGCGACCCUUGUUUGACGCCCUACCCUCUUGGCACAAAUAACCAAACCAUUGGGAAAACAGGAAUCUGUCGCUUGCAGGUCGAAGGCUAGGCGGGGCGCUGGUUUUUCCACCCUAACAGUCGGGAGGAAGUUGUUGGGAAGAUCUGCAGUAGUAACGACUAAUGUUAUGGGCAUUGUCUGUCUUCUUUGACAGAGGGGCCCGCAGACCUCUCUGCUGGUCCCUGCUUCAGCCAAGCAAGUGGAGGUACUCAGUGGGGACUAACCACCACGAAAGGGGCCGUGGGACGCUGGGUGGGGACAGUUGCGGAGGGGUUGACAAUGCACCUUCUUGGGUGCCUCCCCAAAACCUCACAUGGUGCCAGUGACACAAUUCCGAGCGGGUGACAGAGGAGGCCGGGUGCAGGGGCUUUUGAAACUGGGCCCCGAGGUCGCUCUCACUCAAGGAGCUCCAGCUCCCUCAAAUUUCCAAAAGCACAGUUGGAGGGACCGAGGGCUUCCGGCAGCCAGGCGCGCAGGAAUUUGCGCGCUGGCCCCAGCGACGCCCGGGAGCGCAGAGGCUGCCCAGCCACAUUCCGGCGAACCGCCCCAGCGAGGCCCCAGCCCAGGAAGCGGCUCGGAAAACAAAGCGCUGUGGUCUCAGCCCAAGGUUAAAGUCCACCGCCAGCGCUUUUUCCCCCGGAAUCUGAGAGCGAUAGCGUUUCUCCAAAUAAACCGCCAAUAAAUCAGCUCCCGGGCCGAGCCAACUGAAGAGCUCUGGUGACCUUGGGGAAUACUUCCUGCCUGCCAGACCCAGCAGAGGACAGGCGUGGGGGAGGGGGCCAAUGUCAGCCCGUUCCCCCCACCCCCCAAGAAGAGAGGUGUGCCAAGGACAUUUGUGGGUGUUUAUUAGGGUGUGCGUGCCCAGAGGGGAUGGGCGAGGUUUGGAGCAAGGUUUGGGAAGCCCUGGUUAUUUGGGGACCUCAGUGCGCGGUUGUAAGGAGGUUUGUGAUGCUGGGGGCUGCUUCGGAAAGGCUGACCGAUGAGGGCCUCCAGAGCCACACGGUGCUAGUCCCUGGGGACCCAGCCCCGGACACUCUGGGCCCCUUCGGGGGCCCUGGUCUUUGUCUGGGUGUGACAGGGUGUGUUCGGCUUCGAGCUUGUGUAGAGUGUGACUAAUGGGAUUUAUGGAUGUCAGUGCCAGGGUGACUAAUGGAGGCUUGGCAGCACGUGCUUUUGGCGAGGGCCACUGCACCUAGGUGGGGACCCAGUGCCCCAGGAGGGGGCUGCUGGGUCUCAGAAGCCCCCUCCCCUCCCCCACUAGCUCCCAGCUUGGUCUGCGGCCCCUCCACACACCCCCUGGCAGGCCAGUGCAUGCUGCAGCGCUCCCCGACACAUCCCUCUGCGGCCUGGCCCCCAGAGGCCCUCCAGGCCUCCCAUCUCUCUGACCCGUGUGGUUGGUGCCUCCAGAUCCUGGCCUUCCCACCACCUUGGCAGAGCCCUCCAAUCCGCCUCUCUUUCAUCCUGAAAACUCCCUACACGCACAUUGUACAAGCCCCUUCGGGCUCAGCCCUGGGAUGUGGGUACCAUUCUAUCCAUUCAGUGGCUGCUACACCUUCAGGGUGGGCAGGAAAAGUGACAGACUCAUAGCUAGCAGGGCUGACCUCACCAGGCAGGGUGCUGGGGAGAACAUGCCUUCUUUUUUUGUUGAUUUGGGGGAGUUUUGGGGGGGGGUUCUUUUGACAGUGCUGGGGGGUGGAACCGAGAGCCUCAGACAUACUAAGCGUGCAGGCUACCACUGAGCUGCACCCCUUAAAAAACGUAAAUGAUUGCUGGGGAUUUAGUUCAGUGGCGCCACACCUGCCUUGCAAGCGCCAAGGUCCUGAAUUCCACCCCUGGUACCAAAAAAAACAUAAAUGCUGCCAGGUGUGGUGACGCACUCCCUCUGAUCUCAGCAGAUGGCCAGCAGAAGCAGGAGGAUGGCAAGUUUGAGCCCAGCCUGAGCAACUUAGGAAGGCUGUCUCAAAGUAAUAAAUGGGAUGGAGGAGCCAGGGAUUUAGCUCAGUGGUUCCACUGCCUUCCUUGCAAGUGCAAGGUCCUGAGUUCGACCCUCCAAUAAAAAAAAAAAAAAGGUCUAGGAAUGUAGCUCAGUGCAGAGGCCCUGAGUUCAAUCCCCAGUGCCACCAAAUAAAAGAGUAAAUAACCUAUCCACACUAAC
Molecule: long non-coding RNA, 5320 nt
Filed under: Heterocephalus glaber (naked mole-rat)
Lineage: Eukaryota; Metazoa; Chordata; Mammalia; Rodentia; Bathyergidae
Description: lncRNA (ENSHGLG00000035214.1)
Source: RNAcentral